This 22-nucleotide unclassified non-coding RNA is filed under the name Mus musculus (house mouse). Its description in RNAcentral is "oocyte_clustered_small_RNA7830". The record is from RNAcentral. Lineage: Eukaryota; Metazoa; Chordata; Mammalia; Rodentia; Muridae.
UGCAGGGAAGGUACACAGAACA